GAUGAACGCUAGCGAUAGGCUUAACACAUGCAAGUCGAGGGGCAGCAUGGUCUUAGCUUGCUAAGACUGAUGGCGACCGGCGCACGGGUGCGUAACGCGUAUGCAACUUGCCUCACAGAGGGGGAUAACCCGUCGAAAGACGGACUAAUACCGCGUACACUCCAUCUUGGGCAUCCAAGGUAGAGGAAAUGAAAUUCGCUGUGAGAUAGGCAUGCGUCCCAUUAGCUAGUUGGUGAGGUAACGGCUCACCAAGGCGACGAUGGGUAGGGGAACUGAGAGGUUGAACCCCCACACUGGUACUGAGACACGGACCAGACUCCUACGGGAGGCAGCAGUGAGGAAUAUUGGUCAAUGGGCGAGAGCCUGAACCAGCCAAGUCGCGUGAAGGAUGACUGUCUUAUGGAUUGUAAACUUCUUUUAUACGGGAAUAACAAGAGUCACGUGUGACUCCCUGCAUGUACCGUAUGAAUAAGCAUCGGCUAACUCCGAG
Molecule: ribosomal RNA, 490 nt
Filed under: uncultured bacterium
Lineage: Bacteria
Description: partial 16S ribosomal RNA
Rfam family: Bacterial small subunit ribosomal RNA
Source: RNAcentral